GCGCGAGUGGCGGAAUUGGUAGACGCGCUAGCUUGAGGUGCUAGUGCCCAACUUAUCGGGCGUGGGGGUUCAAGUCCCCCUUCGCGCACAA
Molecule: transfer RNA, 91 nt
Filed under: Brevibacterium sp.
Lineage: Bacteria; Bacillati; Actinomycetota; Actinomycetes; Micrococcales; Brevibacteriaceae
Also listed under: 10 other names
Description: tRNA-Leu
Rfam family: tRNA
About the family: Transfer RNA (tRNA) molecules are approximately 80 nucleotides in length. Their secondary structure includes four short double-helical elements and three loops (D, anti-codon, and T loops).
Source: RNAcentral